Mycena filopes is the source of this 84-nucleotide non-coding RNA. The record is from the annotation of a GenBank genome assembly. Lineage: Eukaryota; Fungi; Basidiomycota; Agaricomycetes; Agaricales; Mycenaceae.
UCCACUAUGGUCCAGUGGUAAAACUUGCUGCAUUGUCGAUUUGACGAGUGCAGCAUGUCGGAGGUUCGAUUCCUUCGGGUGGCA